Molecule: long non-coding RNA, 1379 nt
Organism: Ictalurus punctatus (channel catfish)
Lineage: Eukaryota; Metazoa; Chordata; Actinopteri; Siluriformes; Ictaluridae
Source: Ensembl
CACACAGUCAGCCCCUCGGAACACACAGCGGGCUUUGAGGCCAGAGGAAAUAUUGGUGCUUGAAGGUCAUGCUGAGAUGUGUAGUGGAAUGUUAUGGUGCUUUACCGUGUUUGGGGCACCGUCACAGCCUGAGUGACGGUGCCAUGCUGCUUUCUCAAUCGAAACAUUCUGGACUCUAGAUUAGCCCAGAAGGAUUAGAUUAGACCAAAAUGCCCACUUAUCUUAAGCCCGAUCUGUCGCUGGGAGAAUUCAUGAGCUAGUUUUGCAUCUUUACUUGCUGGAGUAGUGAAAGCUUCGUGUAGGCGGCACGAUUCAAAACCGGAGGAUGAAAUCCUUUCACAGUUCCAGUGCUGUCAAGGUCGGCAGGAACACAGGACGCUGGAAAUGAUUAAUCUGUCAAUCUACAUCAAAGCUUCCUUCUUGGUGCCCUCCCUGUAGCCUCUCCUGCUCAGCAGCGAGAAUGAUCGUCUGUGCGUUCCCGUCCUCGCCGCUACACCUUUCCAGUCUUCCACUCUCCUGCUGCCUGCAACGUGAUGACAGGCUAAAAUACAGCACGUAAAAAUGACUUGGUUGGAGCCUAUUUUACAUCUGCGCUGCACCCCUAGACUGCACUUCCUCUCUGCGCAUCCCAGCGGCAGGGCCAUUUCACCAUAUACGAUGAUUACUGCUAUUUUCAAACCUGUGUGUUCAAAACCAGCCCGUUUCUACCUGCCACCCUGUCAGAGACCGCUGAGGAACAAUAAAACAUCUGCACCAUACGCGUAGCAGGCGAUAAUCUCGCCUGAAUUGAUAGCAAAUGAAGGAUUUGUUUUUGUAAAUUUGAGGUAUGUCUUUCCAGAGCGGUAAAUAUCACGGAUGCAAAUGGGAACGCCGCCUGUUAUCAUAAUGAUCCACGCGUAACGCACCGAAGAGUAAAACCUCUCUUCUUUAAAAUCAAAACCAAACAUUAUGAAAAUCUGAUUAAAAAAAUAAAUAAAUAAAUCACAGGUUCAUAUUAAUGUUCUAAUGUGUUAUCAUUUCUAUAGUAACAGCUCAUUCACAGGGACUAUGUAAUUGCUGAUAUGGUGUUGAUAGGUCUUCUAUCAAGACACAUUUAUAUCAAAUUUACAGAAGGAGUCUCCAGUGUCAGUGCGAUGAUAAGCGGUCAACCAGAUAAAAUGCACGACGUGUCGUUCUUGACAUUUUACGACAAAAUGUAAUCACGGGGAAAUCGCUUCGUCAUGUGCUGUUAGAGGAAAAUAAUCAACUUCACUUGAUUAUUUUCACAAUCCCUUCACUUCACUGAUUAUUUUCCUAUAACGGCGUAUUCUGAAGUGUUUUAUUCCUGACAACGUGCGAUCCAACAAAUAUGAUUUGGUUGACUAAAUAUACAAAAACAU